RNAcentral lists this ribosomal RNA (429 nucleotides) under Actinomycetes bacterium. Its description in RNAcentral is "Actinobacteria bacterium partial 16S ribosomal RNA". It matches the Rfam family "Bacterial small subunit ribosomal RNA", at positions 355 to 776 of the family's 1533-position model. The record is from RNAcentral. Lineage: Bacteria; Bacillati; Actinomycetota; Actinomycetes.
UAGGGAAUCUUCCGCAAUGGGCGAAAGCCUGACGGAGCAACGCCGCGUGAGUGAUGAAGGUCUUCGGAUCGUAAAACUCUGUUAUUAGGGAAGAACAAAUGUGUAAGUAACUAUGCACGUCUUGACGGUACCUAAUCAGAAAGCCACGGCUAACUACGUGCCAGCAGCCGCGGUAAUACGUAGGUGGCAAGCGUUAUCCGGAAUUAUUGGGCGUAAAGCGCGCGUAGGCGGUUUUUUAAGUCUGAUGUGAAAGCCCACGGCUCAACCGUGGAGGGUCAUUGGAAACUGGAAAACUUGAGUGCAGAAGAGGAAAGUGGAAUUCCAUGUGUAGCGGUGAAAUGCGCAGAGAUAUGGAGGAACACCAGUGGCGAAGGCGACUUUCUGGUCUGUAACUGACGCUGAUGUGCGAAAGCGUGGGUAUCAAACAGG